RNAcentral lists this ribosomal RNA (498 nucleotides) under uncultured bacterium. RNAcentral describes it as "partial 16S ribosomal RNA". It matches the Rfam family "Bacterial small subunit ribosomal RNA", at positions 27 to 507 of the family's 1533-position model. The record is from RNAcentral.
GGAUGAACGCUGGCGGCGUGCUUAAUACAUGCAAGUCGAGCGAACAGAUAAGGAGCUUGCUCCUUUGACGUUAGCGGCGGACGGGUGAGUAACACGUGGGUAACCUAUCUAUAAGACUGGAAUAACUCCGGGAAACCGGGGCUAAUGCCGGAUAACAUGUUGAACCGCAUGGUUCUACAGUGAAAGGCGGCUUUGCUGUCACUUAUAGAUGGACCCGCGCCGUAUUAGCUAGUUGGUGAGGUAACGGCUCACCAAGGCAACGAUACGUAGCCGACCUGAGAGGGUGAUCGGCCACACUGGAACUGAGACACGGUCCAGACUCCUACGGGAGGCAGCAGUAGGGAAUCUUCCGCAAUGGGCGAAAGCCUGACGGAGCAACGCCGCGUGAGUGAUGAAGGUCUUCGGAUCGUAAAACUCUGUUAUUAGGGAAGAACAAAUGCGUAAGUAACUGUGCGCGUCUUGACGGUACCUAAUCAGAAAGCCACGGCUAACUACGUG